AUUAUUUAUUUAAUAGAAAUAACUUAUUUUUUUUAGUAAAUUUUAUUGAAAUAAUAUUUAUUUAAUUAUAGCUUAUAGUACUGUGAAGGAAUAUUUAUAAUUUUGUUUAAGCAUACUUUUUUUGUUGUACCUUUUGUAUCAGGGUUUAUUAAAAUUAUAAUAAUUAUUAUUGUUAUUCCCGAAAUUAAAAGAUUUAUAUAUAAAUGUAAGUUUACGUUUUAUAGUAAUUUUUAAUUUAUAUAUAGGGGAUAUAUUCUUUUCAAUUUUAAAUAUCUGGUUUCUUAAUAAAUUAAUUUAAUUGAGGUGUUGUUUAUGUUAUUUUAUUAUUUUAUUUUAUAUAAUACUAUACACUAAUAACAUGGGGGAUAAGCUCUUUGUUAAUUUUAUAAUUAAUUUUAUUUUUAUAAAUUUUGUAGGCUUUAUAACAGCCAUCAUUUUAUUUCGUUAUAGUUAAUUUUAUGUUUUUAUUUAUUUAAUAUUAAUUUAAAUUCUUAUUAAGAUUUAAUAUUUAAUAAUUCUUUUUUAUUAAUAAUGAUAGAAUUAGUAGUUUUGAAAAUUUAAAUUUAGGAAUUCGGCAAAAUUAACUUUCGCCUGUUUAACAAAAACAUGUCCUGAAGAUUUUUAAUUUUAGGUCUGACCUGCCCAAUGAUUAAUUUUAAAUGGCUGCAGAAUUUUUACUGUACAAAGGUAGCAUAAUCAUUUGUCUUUUAAUUGAAGGCUAGAAUGAAUGGUUUGACGAGAAGUUAACUUUCUUAAUUUAAAUUUUAUGAAUUUGAUUUUUUAGUUAAAAAGCUAAAAUUUGUUUACAAGACGAGAAGACCCUAUAGAAUUUUAUUAUGAAUUGGAUUUUAGUUGUUUUGGUUGUUUAUUUUUGGUUUUAAUUUUAUUUAUAAUUUUGUUGGGGCGACAGUGAAAAUUAAAUAACUUUCAUUAUUAAGUUUUCAUUAAUUAAUGUAUUUUUUGAUCCCUUAUUAAUAAGGAUUAUAAGAUUAAAUUACCUUAGGGAUAACAGCGUAAUUUUUCCGGAGAGUUCAUAUCUAUGGAUAAAGUUUGCGACCUCGAUGUUGGAUUAAAGAAAGUUUGUGAUGCAGCAGUUUCAUAACUAAGUCUGUUCGACUUUUAAAUCUUUACAUGAUCUGAGUUCAGACCGGCGUGAGCCAGGUUGGUUUCUAUCUGUAAAUUUUAUUUUUAUAAUUUAGUACGAAAGGACCAAUUAUAAGUAAUAUUUAUUUA
RNAcentral lists this ribosomal RNA (1233 nucleotides) under Paralycambes pronotalis. RNAcentral describes it as "partial large subunit ribosomal RNA". The stretch from base 804 to 1179 matches the Rfam family "Bacterial large subunit ribosomal RNA", at positions 2073 to 2647 of the family's 2925-position model. Lineage: Eukaryota; Metazoa; Arthropoda; Insecta; Hemiptera; Coreidae. The record is from RNAcentral.